GCUGGGAUAGCUCAGUUGGUGAGCAGUCCCGACGAGUCGGGAUAAUCAGCAGGUCGAGAGUUCAAGUCUCUUUCCCAGCUCCA
This 83-nucleotide transfer RNA is filed under the name Ignavibacteriales bacterium. Its description in RNAcentral is "tRNA-Arg". It matches the Rfam family "tRNA". Rfam says of the family: Transfer RNA (tRNA) molecules are approximately 80 nucleotides in length. The record is from RNAcentral. Lineage: Bacteria; Pseudomonadati; Ignavibacteriota; Ignavibacteria; Ignavibacteriales.